CGGUGUUUAACUGGCGUGAUGUGGGACGUCCUACCGGUGGGCUUAGCCUCGCGAGGGGCGGCCCAACUAAUAUCCCGUCGCGGUGCUCUUUACUGAGUGUCGAGUCGGGCCGGUACGUUUACUUUGAACAAAUUAGAGUGCUUAAAGCAGGCUAUCCUCGCCUGAAUACUGCGUGCAUGGAAUAAUGGAAUAGGACCUCGGUUCUAUUUUGUUGGUUUUCGGAACCCCGAGGUAAUGAUUAAUAGGGACAGAUGGGGGCAUUCGUAUUGCGACGUUAGAGGUGAAAUUCUUGGAUCGUCGCAAGACGGACAGAAGCGAAAGCAUUUGCCAAAAAUGUUUUCAUUAAUCAAGAACGAAAGUUAGAGGUUCGAAGGCGAUCAGAUACCGCCCUAGUUCUAACCAUAAACGAUGCCAGCUAGCGAUCCGCCGAAGUUCCUCCGAUGACUCGGCGGGCAGCUUCCGGGAAACCAAAGCUUUUGGGUUCCGGGGGAAGUAUGGUUGCAAAGCUGAAACUUAAAGGAAUUGACGGAAGGGCACCACCAGGAGUGGAGCCUGCGGCUUAAUUUGACUCAACACGGGAAACCUCACCAGGCCCAGACACCGGAAGGAUUGACAGAUUGAUAGCUCUUUCUUGAUUCGGUGGGUGGUGGUGCAUGGGCCGUUCUUAGUUGGUGGAGCGAUUUGUCUGGUUAAUUCCGAUAACGAACGAAACUCUAGCCUGCUAAAUAGGCGUACCUUAUGGUAUCGCGAAGGCCCCCGGCUUCGGCCGGUGGGUUUUUACUACCAACGUACAAACAAAUCUUCUUAGAGGGACAGGCGG
Molecule: ribosomal RNA, 820 nt
Filed under: uncultured eukaryote
Lineage: Eukaryota
Description: SSU rRNA
Rfam family: Eukaryotic small subunit ribosomal RNA
Source: RNAcentral